RNAcentral lists this ribosomal RNA (254 nucleotides) under uncultured bacterium. RNAcentral's name for it is "partial 16S ribosomal RNA". It matches the Rfam family "Bacterial small subunit ribosomal RNA", at positions 524 to 776 of the family's 1533-position model. The record is from RNAcentral.
UACGGGGGGAGCAAGCGUUGUUCGGAUUUACUGGGCGUAAAGGGCGCGUAGGCGGCCACUGCAAGUCAGUUGUGAAAUCCCCGGGCUUAACCCGGAAAGGUCAACUGAUACUGCAGGGCUAGAGUGCAGAAGGGGCAACUGGAAUUCUCGGUGUAGCGGUGAAAUGCGUAGAUAUCGAGAGGAACACCUGCGGCGAAGGCGGGUUGCUGGGCUGACACUGACGCUGAGGCGCGAAAGCCAGGGGAGCGAACGGG